This 451-nucleotide ribosomal RNA is filed under the name uncultured bacterium. RNAcentral describes it as "partial 16S ribosomal RNA". It matches the Rfam family "Bacterial small subunit ribosomal RNA", at positions 354 to 796 of the family's 1533-position model. The record is from RNAcentral.
GUGGGGAAUUUUGCGCAAUGGGGGAAACCCUGACGCAGCAACGCCGCGUGAGUGAUGAAGGCCUUCGGGUCGUAUAGCUCUGUCAGAGGGAAAGAAAUGCGGGAGGGUUAAUACCCCUUUUGCUUGACGGUACCCUCAAAGGAAGCACCGGCUAACUCCGUGCCAGCAGCCGCGGUAAUACGGAGGGUGCGAGCGUUGUUCGGAAUUAUUGGGCGUAAAGCGCGUGUAGGCGGUCUUUUAAGUCUGAUGUGAAAGCCCCGGGCUCAACCUGGGAAGUGCAUUGGAAACUGGGAGACUUGAAUACGGGAGAGGGUAGUGGAAUUCCUAGUGUAGGAGUGAAAUCCGUAGAUAUUAGGAGGAACACCGGUGGCGAAGGCGGCUACCUGGACCGAUAUUGACGCUGAGACGCGAAAGCGUGGGGAGCAAACAGGAUUAGAAACCCCUGUAGUCC